CUCAGGCGAACGCUGGCGGCGUGCCUAAUACAUGCAAGUCGAACGAAACUUUCUUACACCGAAUGCUUGCAUUCACCGUAAGAAGUUGAGUGGCGGACGGGUGAGUAACACGUGGGUAACCUGCCUAAAAGAAGGGGAUAACACUUGGAAACAGGUGCUAAUACCGUAUAUCUCUAAGGAUCGCAUGAUCCUUAGAUGAAAGAUGGUUCUGCUAUCGCUUUUAGAUGGACCCGCGGCGUAUUAACUAGUUGGUGGGGUAACGGCCUACCAAGGUGAUGAUACGUAGCCGAACUGAGAGGUUGAUCGGCCACAUUGGGACUGAGACACGGCCCAAACUCCUACGGGAGGCAGCAGUAGGGAAUCUUCCACAAUGGACGCAAGUCUGAUGGAGCAACGCCGCGUGAGUGAAGAAGGUCUUCGGAUCGUAAAACUCUGUUGUUAGAGAAGAACACGAGUGAGAGUAACUGUUCAUUCGAUGACGGUAUCUAACCAGCAAGUCACGGCUAACUACGUGCCAGCAGCCGCGGUAAUACGUAGGUGGCAAGCGUUGUCCGGAUUUAUUGGGCGUAAAGGGAACGCAGGCGGUCUUUUAAGUCUGAUGUGAAAGCCUUCGGCUUAACCGGAGUAGUGCAUUGGAAACUGGAAGACUUGAGUGCAGAAGAGGAGAGUGGAACUCCAUGUGUAGCGGUGAAAUGCGUAGAUAUAUGGAAGAACACCAGUGGCGAAAGCGGCUCUCUGGUCUGUAACUGACGCUGAGGUUCGAAAGCGUGGGUAGCAAACAGGAUUAGAUACCCUGGUAGUCCACGCCGUAAACGAUGAAUGCUAGGUGUUGGAGGGUUUCCGCCCUUCAGUGCCGCAGCUAACGCAAUAAGGCAUUCCGCCUGGGGAGUACGACCGCAA
RNAcentral lists this ribosomal RNA (900 nucleotides) under Ligilactobacillus salivarius. RNAcentral describes it as "bacterial SSU rRNA". It matches the Rfam family "Bacterial small subunit ribosomal RNA", at positions 23 to 891 of the family's 1533-position model. Lineage: Bacteria; Bacillati; Bacillota; Bacilli; Lactobacillales; Lactobacillaceae. The record is from RNAcentral.